This is an RNA transcript of Oncorhynchus kisutch (coho salmon), 11935 nucleotides long. It is a transcript of the gene named voltage-dependent P/Q-type calcium channel subunit alpha-1A-like, with no coding region annotated. Lineage: Eukaryota; Metazoa; Chordata; Actinopteri; Salmoniformes; Salmonidae. The record is from RefSeq and is a predicted model, not a curated record. The transcript has 10 exons.
AAAACAUGUAGCGAACCUCCAUACAGGUAGGGGGAGCUCUAUAGCAGAUGCCUUGAUAAAACCCACUAGUCUCCUGAUUAAGAGUAAUACAACUACACUAGUGAUACUACUGUUUGCUAUGUCUUGCAGUCUAUUCCAGUAUAUUCUCUUGAUAUACUGUAUGUUAGUGGGAGGGUACAGGGGGUUGUAUGUGUACAUGUGUGUACAUUUGUGUGUAAUAAGAUGCGUGAAUGCGUACCGUUGCAUUCACACAUUAUUAGGGAACAUGGGCAUAGGUUGGGUCAGUUGGUCGUCGGCCAUUGCGGUGCCGCGUGGCUCUUGGCUCUCGCAGUCACUCAAUUCUGUAGCAGACGGCCCAUUGGAUAAAUGUGUAGUUGUUUGAGUAUCACUUGCCAAUCAGGAGACAAUCAGGAAGUACUUUUCCACUGUUUCCUUUGGAAAAGGCAGUUUCACAGUUUGGAAAUCAUACUGUGGUUACUACAUAUGACAAAGUCCUUUAGCACACAAAGACACAACAUAGACCUACAAGGGACCUCUGACAAUCAAGAUACUACAAGUGGGGUCGAGUUCAAUUCCAUUUAGAUUCAGUCACUUCGGGAGAUGAAUUGAAAUCAACUUUUUUUUCUAUGAGGAUUUCUUUCAAUUCAUGAAUUGGAUUUCAAUUCUCUCUAUGAACUGUGAGGUGAAACUGAAUUGCACCAAAUUUCUGUGUCUUCAGAAUCAGACAGACAGAGUCAAACAUAAUCCUGGCUAAAUAAACAAGUAGAUACGAUUACAGACACUGAAACCUAACCUUUUUAGGCUGUUGCCCUAUCGAGCUCCCUCAAUCCUUGGUCCCUCCCUUUUCCCCUUACCUGGAGGUUCAGACCACACCCCCUACCACGGACACACUCUCUUUUCUCAACCUCUCCACCUGAUUGGCUCUCCACAGAGGCUGCUGCGCAUGGACUUGCCGGUUGCCGAGGACAACUCAGUGCAUUUCAACUCCACCCUCAUGGCUCUGAUUCGGACAGCGCUCGAUAUCAAGAUUGCCAAGGGAGGAGCUGACAAACAUCAGAUGGACGCUGAGCUAAGGAAAGAAAUGAUGGCCAUUUGGCCCAACCUCUCUCAGAAGAACCUAGACCUGCUGGUCACGCCACACAAGUCAGCCACAGACCUGACGGUGGGGAAGAUCUACGCUGCCAUGAUGAUCAUGGAGUAUUACAGACAGAGCAAGGCCAAGAAGCUCCAGGCCCUACGCGAGGAGCAGAACCGAACACCGUUAAUGUUUCAGCGCAUGGAGCCGCCCUCCCCCGGGGGAGGAGAAGGGGGAGGAGGGGGAGGCCCCGACGGGACGGGAGGAGGGAUGCCAGGGGUCAACGGCCUCCCCGCCACACAGCACGACCCCAACAGCAUACCUCCAGAGGGUGGGAUGACAGAGAGCCAGUCGUGGGUAACAGCUAAAGCUCAGGAGAUGUUUAACAAGACGGGCAACUGGAGCCCAGAGAGACCCUACCCCGACCAUCUCCAUGACAACAGACACAACCCCCAGACGCUAGAGAUGAGAAAGAUGGGGCGGGACGGGUACUCGGAAACUGAGCCCUGUCACCCAAUGCGAAUGGACAGGCAUGGUCGGACCAUCUCCAUGCCCCGCCUCUCAGACGACAACCAACGGAGACGUCACAGGCCCCGUGGACAUAACCACCUCAGUACCAUAACAGACACCAGCCCCAUGCGUCGGUCCACCUCUUCUCUGGUCCACGGGCGUUCUGGCAGGGAGAGAGAGGGGUGAGGCUGGAUGACUACAGCUUGGAGAGGGUAGAAGGAGAGGGGAGGCACGGUGGGGGAGCAGGAGGGGGACAACGCAGGGACAGGAGGGACAGGAGCCACCGCACCUCUCAGACGGUCCCUUACCAGAUACACAGACGCAGACACAGGGUUGGGCACAGACCUGAGCACUACCACCCAGUCUGGAGAACUCCCCCCCAAAGAGCGUGAACGCGAACGCGGUCGAGCCAAAGACCGCAGGCACCACCAUCAUCACCACCACCACAGUGGCUCCAUGGAGAAAGAGGGGCGCUUCGGGCCAGACAGACACGGGCCAGAGUUCACCCACAGACACCCCCAUGACCGGGGGGACAGACACUGGUCCCGCUCUCCUAGUGAGGGGCCCGACGGACGGGGCCACAGACAGGGCAGUAGCUCGGUGAGCGGCAGCCCCGUCCCCUCCACGUCCGGUACCUCCACCCCCCGCCGCGGGCGCCGCCAGCUGCCCCAGACCCCCGCCGUGCCACGUCCCCACGUCACCUACUCCCCAGCCAUACGACACCCCAAGCCCACCUACGGAGCAGGUCCCCCUGGACGACUCCGCUCCCCCUCCCCCCGACACUUCUCCCCCCCAGAGCACGACGGAGGGGGUUAUCACCGCCCGCCAUCGCGUCACGUUUCCCCGCUUGAGCACGGAGGGUCGAGGCACGGGUCUCCGAGAUCGGCCCGGCACCAGUCGGGGUCUCGUUCACCUCCGCCCCACCAUGGGUCACCCCGGUCCCCCCGCCACGGGCGCUGGAGCGGUCCCCCUCCCGGGGAUAGUCUGGAGAGCGAGGGCGGCCCAUUCUAUGAGCGUGACUGCGAGUACGAGCGCCAGCAUGAGCCGCCCGCCUACGAGCAGAGCCUCAGCAACCCACAUCCCCACGGCAACCCCCACCCGCACGGCAACCCACACCCGCACGGCAACCCGCACCCACGCUCCCCCAGGACUGCCCGGCACGGGGGCGGCGUGGGCCCACCACCUCCACUUGCUCCCACUCACCCCCGACGAGUCCCAAAUGGUUACCGCUCGUCUUCGCCCUCCCCGCACCGGCGAGGGCCCCCACAUCAACACCCCAAUCCAGGGGGACCACCCCACCGGUCCCCCCCUCAUCACCGGGUCCCCCAUGGAGGCCCCAGAGGCCCCCGGAAGGGACUGCACGAACCCUACAGCGAGACGGACGAGGACGACUGGUGCUAGCACAGCGAAGGAACAGAAGAACGAGGGAGGAGAGGAAGAGAGGAAAAGGAGGGAGGAGAGGAGUCUCUCCGUCUCCCCCGUCCUCUGUUCUUCGUUAUGCAGACUUAAAUGAAGGGUAAAGGGAUGCAGAAGGGGGUGAGGAAAGGAAAGGAGGAGAGGAGAAUUUGGGAGAAGUCUCUCCAUCUCUCUACCUCCACCCCUGAGACUCAGACUUGGAUGGAAUGAUAAGGGAUGGAGGGAUGGUUAGAGGAGAGGAGGCACACUGUGUGGGUGUGUGAGACUCUAAACUCAGAGCAGACAUGACAAAGAGAGACAGCUAUAAGGCAGAACUACGCACCUCUCCUCUUCUCCUCUGUCUCAACUACCAUACCCAGAGUUCUCAGCGUGCCCAGGGGGGAGUAGACCGAGGGAUGGUGGAGAGGUGCUGACGGAGGUGUGGAGAGGGAAGAAAGAACAAAAGAAUGAAAGGAAGGGAGGAGCAUGUAUAUUAAGUUACAAGUGGCCAAUGAAUGGUAAAUCAAAGCCCCUCUCCCAGACUGUUUAGGGGAUAGGUGGGUUAGUUAAGUUAAGCUAAACCUGGGUGCUCUUGCUGUUCUGUCAUUCUAUUCUACUAGCCUGAUAAGUGUUAGGAGCUAACAGCUAAACGCUAGCUAGCUAACACUGCUCUUGGUCUAACCUAGACGGACAUGUUUAAAAAACAACAAGGAAAACCCAUGCCAGGACCCCCUAUCCUUAUACACGCCAAGCUAUGCCUCCAGAAAAAUAUAACUUGAAGACUAAAGAACAGAAAACAAAAACAAACUUUGAAAAAAAAGAGGAGAAAAAAAGGGAGAACAACCACUUUAACUUAAACUUUCCUUAAAGGGACCGGACUAGAACCAGGAAGCUCCGCCUCUACUGCAAAAACCAGCCAAUGACAGAGCUGGCUGAUAUUUGAUGAGUUUUAUCAUCUCCUGUUUACUGUUACAGACUCACGAAAUGCUGACGACGGACCUGGUGUGACCUCACGUCCGGUGGGUGGGGCCUGGUGUGACAUCACGUCCUGUUCCGGUGGGUGGGGCCACAGGGGAGGGGCUGGGGGCAGAGUUAUGGACCCUUAGGGGGCGUAGUUUGUUUGCCCCCACUAUCUUCUCUCCCCCUUCCUCUCUCCUCCAUCCUGCCGAAAAAGAAAGGACAGGGAAGGAAAAUGAUGUGAGGAGGAGCGGAAAGACAGAAAGGAAGGGAGGGGAAAGACCAUUUCUUCAGUAUUUCUUCUAUCGAUUACUUCUUCUUCUUCUAGUUCUUCUUCUUGGACAUUGGAGCUUGGUUCUUCUGUUGCGUUCGCUCAAGCCUCUGUUAAUCCGUUAUGAUGCAUGAAAAAAAUACCUAGAGAGAAAAUCUACUGUUGGGGAUAUGGGGGCAUAUUGGGUUUAUAGAACCCUUACAUUUUAGAUUUUGAUUGAAGAAGUUCUCUUUUUCUGACUCUCUCUCUCUCUCUCUCUCUCUCUCUCUCUCUCUCUCUCUCUCUCUCUCUCUCUCUCUGACUCUGUCUAUCAUCAUGCAUUUGUUUAUUGAGUAAAUAUUUGUUCUAUAUCACCCUAAGGAUCCGAUGGACAACCUUUUUUAAGUUUGAUUUCUGCCCAUUAGGGUUUUAAAGCUACCAUUUUCUUAUCUUGAAAGUACUCCUAAGUUCCUGAGAUACUCCUAAAUUUUACUAAGAUACUCCUGUUGUACUAAGAUAUUCCUAAAUUGUUUUGAGGAAUAAGUAAGAAUUGAGAGAGCUAUGAGGAGAGAGAACUUCAACUUCUUUAAAUAAUUGAUUUGUAUUGUUAAUAAUGAUGAUAGUCCUAUAAAUACUGAUAUCAAUGUCAAUGCAAAACGAUGAAUGAUGAUAGUUGUUUGCCGUAGAUCUGUUGUCAUGUUUUUUGGAGUUUCAAUCUGCUGUGUCAUCUAGUUUUCAUCGUUUAUUUUCCUUGGGUUCUGUUCAAACUGUUUCCAAACUGUUCCCAAACUGUUCCAAAACGCCUUUAACUGGGUCCGAUACAUGCAACACGCAUAAACUUUUCAGGGAGGGGUUAGAUGUCGGAUUGUGAUUGUGAGCAACACAGAUGGAACUGUGUGGCGUUGUGUAACGCAGCUCUUUACCUCUGAUAGGUCCCCCCUCAGUGGUAGACAGAGAACCGGGGACACGUUCAGUAGCCAAAUGUUGUCAAACGUGGCAGAUGGAAAUGUCAUUAACAGAGCUGACGUGGUUCUUCAUUCUACGUGUAAGAGAUGCAUGUUUGUUCUAAAUAGCAUUUUUCUAUCCAAGCGUUCCAAAAACAUUGUGUCCUGCUGAGUGCGCCCCAGUCAUAGCCAAAUGAACCGGUCAACCAACCAUCAGACCUCCACACAGUAUCUGAUUUACAGCUAGCUGUGGACCAUAGAGUUAGAAAGAGGACUUAUACUGGGUUAUAUCCACCUAGAGCCCUCUUUCUACCUCUAUGUUGUGAACGAGCUCCACCUCACAUCCCCAAGAGCUCUCCACUCGCUGUCGAGUCUCUCUGUCUUUCUGAUUUUCCAUGACAUGUUUAGCAUUGAGCUGCUUGCUUUACCAAGCCAGAGGAUAACAUUCUAGAAACAUUUUAGAAUCUCUAAGACAUUCUAGAAACUCUUGUCUAGACUCUAGAAACUCUAGAGCAUUCUUUAGACAGGUUACCUAACAUGAUUGUUUCCAGAUGUUUUGGAUUAAAACAUAUUUAUUUUGCUAUGAUUACAGUUAUGUAGAUUGUAACAGAUAUUCCCUAUCAUAACUCGUAAAAUGAUAGAUACAAUAUAGAUAUAUAGAGAUAUAAAAGUUUAUAUAUUAUAGAGAGAAAAACAUACUUUUAUUUACUUCAAACACUCUAGCUAAGUGGCUAGAGCUCAGAAACUCUCCAUUGAAAUCAGCUAUACAGAUUCAAAUUGCACUUUGUCACUGUAGCUCCACACAAUAUCCCACUACAAACUCUAUGCAGAUCUAUCCAACAUUCAUUUCUCCUUCACCAUUAUAGUGCAGAGUGGUUGUAGCAUUAUAAAUAAAUGACAAUAUGUACGUGGGCGCAUAGAAAUAGAAUGUGUAGAACAGGCCUCCCAAUUCAAGUCAAUGAUGGCAGAUUAUAUUUCUAUGGGUCAGAUAGUGUAGUGUCAGAUAGUGUAUAUACAGCGUUUUGAUAUAGAUGGAUAGAACUAUAUAGAUAGAGGGUAUGCCCACAUCGUUUUGCUUUUGCACAAUCACUCACGAUAUCCUUGUCCUUCAUAGCACAUCUUUCCUUUAAUUUUGACCCUCCUGCAGUGUUUUGUCCUCUCCUGCUCCCUCUAUCAUUCUCCCAAGCUGUCCAAUCCCAGGCCUAGUGUAGUGUAGUGAACUGGGAAGGGGAGCGGGGGCACAUAUACCACCCCUGCCCUCCGUAUAGGUAGGUCCAGAGAGAGAGGGGGGGACCUACAUCAGAGGGGUGUUUAUCUACCCAGAAACCCCAGUGCCUCAGUGCCUUCUGUUUUCAGAGUCACAUCUACCCUUCCCAGCUCGCCCCUCACCAUCCCCCUCGUCCCCUCCUGUGGUUGAUCAACGUCAACCACACUACGCCUUAAAGAAUCCUAGUCGCUGUCUGUGGGCAGGUAGCGGUUGGGAGCAAGGCAGUAGGGACUGGGCUUUGCUUAGUUGGUUGGAACAGUGAGUAAAGCGCAGGAAGAGAGGGGAAUGGAAACUACUUUUGAUAUGGCGGCCAUUUUGGGGAUCUCCUUCGCCCAGUUUCACACAGUGUAGUGAGAUACUGUAAUUGCAGGGGCGAAAAGGCAAUGAUUUGUUUACUUCUCAGGUGUCUCUAGAGAUAGAUAGCUAGAUAGAUAGAAUCUACACUAUAUAAUAGGUACGCUAAGGCAGUUAGUCAGUUAUAUCAUAUAAUAUGAUAUCACUUUAUAAAAUCAUAUGACAAAAUAUAGGCCUAGGGUUUGAGUUACUGUAUGGUUUGUUAUCUGGCAUGGGCAUUUGUAAUGUCUACCCUUCUCCCCUUAACCUCCAUUACAGACCACCUACCAUUCAUCAUGAAUCUGCCGCUGAAAACUACUUGCACUUGACACUGUGGGUGUCCACUGAUCAGGCAGGAAACUGACUACUCCAUUUCGGCUCAGCAGCACCAACAUGCUUGUCCAGAAUUGUAACUGCGGAUCCAAAAUGGCUGACAUCGACACACAACACUGCCGUUGUUGCAUGUUGUGUAGAUUGUGUGCUCCAACCAUUAUAAAAUGAAUGACCAUUUUAAGGGGUUUAUUUUGUUUAUUAAAAAAAAAAUCCAGAAGAUUUGUGAAAAGGAGGAUUUAGGGAAGUUUCUAGUUUACUCUCAAUCGUUCAUCCAUCCAUCCUACGUUCCUAUCCAUUUAUUUUUUGUCUUUCCUUUCUAUUUCUGAUGUGACUUCUUGAUCAACUCUCUCUAUCAUUUUUUCCUCCUCUUUGACAAAGCAGACGACCUCCGAAAGCCAAUCCAACCCCAUUCACUCAAUCAAUCAAAUGUUGUGCGUUUGUGAAAUGAUGUAAAUGAUUGGUGUGUGAGGCUAGUGUGUGUUGAUCCAGAAAUAAGGGCUCUCCUAACAAACUAAAGGGGUUUCAUGUGCAGGCACAGUAGUGCUGCCAAAAGUCAUCUGUAUGUAUCUCAAACCAUACAGUGGUGUGGUCUCCCCUUGUACAGCACUAGGUGUGUGCAUGCGUGUGUGUUGGGGUCAAGGGUCAGGGUGAGAGAGUCUAUGUGGGGGGGGGGGGGGGGGCACAGCAGGGUGUACGUUCCGCUGAGGUGAAACGUUCUGGUAUGUUCUGCUGAGGUGAAUCGUUCUGCUGAGGUGAAACGUUCCGGAAAAGAACAGAUAGAAAUGUAAUGAAUAGAGCUGACACGACACCCUUUUCUGUCAGCAUAUCCUGACAAGCAUAUCCGUUCUACUUGAUGCAUUUCUAUCUGAUAGUUUUCUGUAACAUUUGCACCCUCCUGAACAGACCCCGGUUAGAAGUAGUGUCACAAGUCACAUUAUUUCACAAAUGGCACUGGAACAUUCUUGGUUCAUUUUCUAGCUUCGCCUUCUUCCGCUUGCCAAUACAGCCUUCAUUAUGAUGUCAUCAGCUGCCAUUUUCUCAUUGACCUCCACCUGCAUCCCCCAGCUCAUUUUGGAGUGGAGGGUCACCAACCUCAUCAGGGCUGGGUUUACUGGCAUGACAGUGAGACAUUCUUCUGUGUCUGUGUGUUGUGUUCGUGUGUGUUUGCUACGUGUGUGCGUGUGUGAGUGAGAGGGUGUGUGCGUGCGUGUGUGAGUGCGUGUGUUCACACCUCAUCUACAGUAAGUUAUCUUCAGUGCCUUACACUGUACAGUAGGAACCAAAUCUUCUUUGUAGAUAGACAACACACACUGCACUGAAUAACGCUUUCAUAAUGUUUCCAUAAUGAUUUCUCUCCAACUGUUCUCUUCUCUCCAUCCAGUAUUGCCUCACCUACCAUCCUAUUCCUUCUCUCUCUGUGAUCGACGAGUAAGGUCUGGAGGGAGGGCAUGGGUGAAUGAAUAGGUGAUCGUUGUGUUGGGUCUGUCAUCAUUUUCUUUCUCUCUCUGUACAUUUGCUCUGUAAACUCUUCCAUAAACUUUCUGAAACAAUCCGACCAUGUCCAUCUAUUUUCUCUUUUAUCUCCCUACAUUUAUUUUUCAACGUUUACAUUUCAAUCAUUUAGCAGAUGUUCUAAUCCAGAGCGACAUAGUGUCGACAACAUCACUCCCACUCUUCAAUUGUGCUUGAAGUCUCACUCAAGUGAUGUCCAUUUCCAUGUAAUACCAUACAUGAACACAAGGUGGUGCACUCAUUCUUUAAACAGAGUAUACAUUGGUUGACAUAACGUACCAUUCAAAGGCCUAUGUGUAUGUUGUCAUUACAUUGUUUUCGCAGGAGAACGGGUGAGUAUCGUGUGUGUAUGUGCGCAUGUGCAUGUUUGGAGGCUUCAGUGUGUGUGUGUGUGUGUGUGUGUGUGUGUGUGUGUGUGUGUGUGUGUGUGUGUCUGCACGUGCCAAAACGCACACAGCGACAACACCGAGAUUCUUGACAACCGUGGGUGUGAUUGAUUCCCUAGAGAUGUGUGGAGCGUCUUCUACUGUCACCAUGGAAACCCUCAAGGCCCCUCACUCUUCAUUCCAUACAGUCUCCCAACCAUCACCUUAUAAUAUCCCAAUACCAUCAAUUUGUCCCAUAGACACUGAUUUAAGAUCCAUUUUCAGUGUUAGCCUCCUUAUGGUAAAGCAUAGGAGUGAGGUGGGGUGAAUCUGCAGUAGAAACCAUAUCAGUCCAGUGCCACAGUAGAAACCAUACCAUAUCAGUCCAGUGCCACAGUAGAAACCAUAUCAGUCCAGUGCCACAGUAGAAACCAUACCAUAUCAGUCCAGUGCCACAGUAGAAACCAUACCAUAUCAGUCCAGUGCCACAGUAGAAACCAUAUCAGUCCAGUGCCACAGUAGAGAACCAUACCAUAUCAGUCCAGUGCCACAGUAGAGAACCAUACCAUAGCAGUCCAGUGCCACAGUAGAAACCAUACCAUAGCAGUCCAGUGCCACAGUAGAAACCAUACCAUAUCAGUCCAGUGCCACAGUAGAAACCAUACCAUAUCAGUCCAGUGCCACAGUAGAGAACCAUACCAUAUCAGUCCAGUGCCACAGUAGAGAACCAUACCAUAUCAGUCCAGUGCCACAGUAGAGAACCAUACCAUAUCAGUCCAGUGCCACAGUAGAGAACCAUACCAUAUCAGUCCAGUGCCACAGUAGAGAACCAUACUAUAUCAGUCCAGUGCCACAGUAGAACCCAUACCAUAUCAGUCCAGUGCCACAGUAGAAACCAUACCAUAUCAGUCCAGUGCCACAGUAGAAACCAAACCAUAUCAGUCCAGUGCCACAGUAGAGAACCAUACCAUAUCAGUCCAGUGCCACAGUAGAGAACCAUACCAUAUCAGUCCAGUGCCACAGUAGAAACCAUACCAUAUCAGUCCAGUGCCACAGUAGAGAACCAUACCAUAUCAGUCCAGUGCCACAGUAGAAACCAUACCAUAUCAGUCCAGUGCCACAGUAGAGACCCAUACCAUAUCAGUCCAGUGCCACAGUAGAAACCAUACCAUAUCAGUCCAGUGCCACAGUAGAAACCAUACCAUAUCAGUCCAGUGCCACAGUAGAAACCAUACCAUAUCAGUCCAGUGCCACAGUAGAAACCAUACCAUAUCAGUCCAGUGCCACAGUAGAAACCAUACCAUAUCAGUCCAGUGCCACAGUAGAGAACCAUACCAUAUCAGUCCAGUGCCACAGUAGAAACCAUACCAUAUCAGUCCAGUGCCACAGUAGAAACCAUACCAUAUUAGUCCAGUGCCACAGUAGAAACCAUACCAUAUCAGUCCAGUGUCACAGUAGAAACCAUACCAUAUCAGUCCAGUGCCACAGUAGAAACCAUACCAUAUCAGUCCAGUGCCACAGUAGAAACCAUACCAUAUCAGUCCAGUGCCACAGUAGAAACCAUACCAUAUCAGUCCAGUGCCACAGUAGAAACCAUACCAUAUCAGUCCAGUGCCACAGUAGAGAACCAUACCAUAUCAGUCCAGUGCCACAGUAGAAACCAUACCAUAUCAGUCCAGUGCCACAGUAGAGAACCAUACCAUAUCAGUCCAGUGCCACAGUAGAGAACCAUACCAUAUCAGUCCAGUGCCACAGUAGAAACCAUAUCAGUCCAGUGCCACAGUAGAAACCAUACCAUAUCAGUCCAGUGCCACAGUAGAAACCAUACCAUAUCAGUCCAGUGCCACAGUAGAAACCAUACCAUAUCAGUCCAGUGCCACAGUAGAAACCAUACCAUAUCAGUCCAGUGCCACAGUAGAAACCAUACCAUAUCAGUCCAGUGCCACAGUAGAAACCAUACCAUAUCAGUCCAGUGCCACAGUAGAAACCAUAUCAGUCCAGUGCCACAGUAGAAACCAUACCAUAUCAGUCCAGUGCCACAGUAGAAACCAUACCAUAUCAGUCCAGUGCCACAGUAGAAACCAUACCAUAUCAGUCCAGUGCCACAGUAGAAACCAUACCAUAUCAGUCCAGUGCCACAGUAGAAACCAUACCAUAUCAGUCCAGUGCCACAGUAGAAACCAUACCAUAUCAGUCCAGUGCCACAGUAGAAACCAUAUCAGUCCAGUGCCACAGUAGAAACCAUACCAUAUCAGUCCAGUGCCACAGUAGAAACCAUACAGGACUGGAGUCAUUUUAGGAAGCAAGAAGAGAAAAUACACUACAUAACUACAUGGCAAUUUAAGAUAAAAAAGAGAAGUAUUUAAAUAACAGAUUUGCAUGUGCAAUGUGCAUGCCACUACGUGGGGUUAAAUAAGUCAACUUCAGGAAUAAAAUAAAAAUAUAUAUAUUAAGAGAAAAAAAGUAUAUUAUAUAUAUAUAUGUAUAAAUAUAUAUAGAUAGAUGUUUUUAAGAGCAAUGUGUUCCUUUGUCUUCUAUUUUUUAAAACAAAAAACUGGAGAGAAAAAACUUGGACAAAAAAAAAAUAGAUAUAAAAUCUUUAAAAAGAAGAACUUUGGUGAUGUAAUGAAAGAAUGUUUUUGUUUGUUACUUGCCAGUUAUUCACUAAAGAGGGGAACUGCGACGGCGGGGAGGUAGACCAUUUAACACUUUAAACUAAAUGUUGAAGCAUUACAUUACAACAACAAAAAUGAAGAAAAGAUCAACAUGGAAUGAAGGAAUAAAUGUUUGCUUAAUUAAAGAAAAAGACAAAUCCCUUGAUUGAGAGUCUUGAGAGCUGCCUGAUGAUUCUGGUUAUGAUGUUACCUGUUUAUUCCGGCUAUGAAAUCUCUUUUUUUCUUGCUCUCUAUCUCUCUGCUAUUUCUACCAGUGCAUUUUGUUACUCCGAACUGAACUCUUCCUAAGGAACCUGAAUAAAACCACAGAGAGAAUGCA